UUUUCCCGAAUUAGAAAGAGCUAUAAUUUUAUGGAUUUGAUUGUGGCAAAAAUCUUUAACAUAUAAUUAUUGGAAUGAAACGUUAGUCGUUUUCUAAGAUAUCUGGUUUCUUAAGAAAUAAAUUUAAUUUAGGACAUGGUUUUACUAAGCUGAUUUGGUAACUUAGUGGCGCUAUGUUCUAGUAUUUUAAGGGAUAAGCUUUAAAAUAGAAGGUUAAAAUUAAUGUUGUAUGAGGUUAGGUUUGUAGGGUUGGAAAUUUUUAUCAAUAGUUUGUUAUAAUUAACCUAAGCUUCAGUAAGAUUUAUAUAUAUUGGUUUAGAUUUUUUAUUAAGAUUUUACAUAUAAUAUAAUAAUGUAAGUAAUAAUGAUAGAAUUAGUAUAUAUGUAUAAUGUAUUUUGUUUUUUAUGGUCAAGGUUAGGUUAAGGAACUCGGCAAAUGUACUUUCCGCCUGUUUAUUAAAAACAUGUCUUUUUGAUCAUAAUUUAAAGUCUGACCUGCCCAAUGAGGUAUUGAAUGGCCGCGGUAAUUUGACCGUGCAAAGGUAGCAUAAUCAUUAGUUUUUUAAUUGAAAGCUGGUAUGAACGGUUGGACGAGAGAGUAACUGUCUCAAUCUAAUUGAUAAUAGAAUUUUAUCUAUAAGUUAAAAAGCUUAUAUAAUUUUAAAAGACGAGAAGACCCUAUAGAAUUUUAUAAUUUUGUUUAUUAAUUGAUAUUAGAAUUUUAAUCUUUGAAUGUAUAAUGUUAUUUUGUUGGGGCGACAGAAAAAUUUAGCUAACUUUUUUUAGUGUUGGUCAUAGAUACAUGUGUGAAUGAUCCGUUUUUGACGAUUAAAAGAUUAAAUUACCUUAGGGAUAACAGCGUAAUUUUUUUUUAGAGUUCCUAUCGAAAAAAGAGUUUGCGACCUCGAUGUUGGAUUAAAAUUAACUUUUGGUGCAGGGGCUAAAAGGUUAGGUCUGUUCGACC
This 964-nucleotide ribosomal RNA is filed under the name Lycomedes buckleyi. Its description in RNAcentral is "partial 16S ribosomal RNA". The stretch from base 403 to 654 matches the Rfam family "Archaeal large subunit ribosomal RNA", at positions 1786 to 2143 of the family's 2987-position model. The record is from RNAcentral. Lineage: Eukaryota; Metazoa; Arthropoda; Insecta; Coleoptera; Scarabaeidae.